Leptinotarsa decemlineata (Colorado potato beetle) is the source of this 616-nucleotide long non-coding RNA. RefSeq lists it as uncharacterized. The record is from RefSeq and is a predicted model, not a curated record. Lineage: Eukaryota; Metazoa; Arthropoda; Insecta; Coleoptera; Chrysomelidae.
CAUCUAGAGUGGUUAAUCCUUUUUAACCACGUACAAGUAUUCUGAAACGUUCACCUCUGCAUAAGGUGUGUCAAAUGCAAUUCAGCAAAUAGUCAGCUCGACAUUUUUUACUGUUCCAUCUCUGAGAUUGGGUCUUUUUACUUCAUCUUAAACCAGAUUUCUAUAUUUUUUAUUUCUUUAUUUUUAUGGCUCCUUUUUUUAUUCAACACAAUAAAAACCUAAAUUGUUUGUCAGCUCUUUGAACCUCCCACUAGACUUUUUAGUCUAUCAUACUUGUAUAUUUGUGAAUGCUUGUCUUUGUUCUGAUAUAUUAAGUGUUUUAAUAAUAUUUUCAAAUAUAGUGAAACUACUUGUUGGGUUGCAGAGGAUCUGGCAUCAGUUAUUACCAGGGGAGACCUACCAUACUAAUCAACUUAUAGGUAGAUGGAUCUAAACACAACCCAGGUUCAUAUGAAGCUACAGUACACGCCACGGCUGAGCAAUCGCGCAGUUAUAGACUCUCACAACUAAAUUACUACUGGAUUAGAAUAAGCCCCUUGCUGACCAGUGUCAUAUCUAUAAUUUAGUUUUAAUUAGGGUAGCAAAUGGAACAUGACUUUUUUGUUAUUUCUUUUCA